AACUAAACGGGAUUGAAGUGGCAGCUCCCGGUUUUUAUUUAAAAUCGGGACUAUAACGAAAAGCCCGACGGACU
This 74-nucleotide small RNA is filed under the name Pedobacter zeae. RNAcentral's name for it is "Flavo-1 RNA". It matches the Rfam family "Flavo-1 RNA". The record is from RNAcentral. Lineage: Bacteria; Pseudomonadati; Bacteroidota; Sphingobacteriia; Sphingobacteriales; Sphingobacteriaceae.